Danio rerio (zebrafish) is the source of this 507-nucleotide non-coding RNA. NCBI's taxonomy places the organism in Eukaryota, Metazoa, Chordata, Actinopteri, Cypriniformes, Danionidae. The record is from Ensembl.
CUCGACUCUGUGGAAAAGCACCGAGUAUUUUGUGCACACGUGUGCUGUUGAUAGAUUGAAAUUGAACAGCGAGCUAGGGAACAUAACGAAGGAAAUAAUGUGAUGACCUACAGUAAGCAGGUUGCAGUGACAAACGCUGUAACCCGAGGCAGGGUGCACCAGGCAGUCGGCAGGAUGCCUCCACAAAGCUCAUGGUUUCAAGUUGAGUCAGAGGUUUCGUGUGUGGGUGGAAAGAGGUUUCCUGGGCUGUUCCACCAUCAGAGGCCUGAGUGGGAGACCAACCACUCCUUAAAAUGGAAACAUUUCUGCUGCACGAUGUCACACAUGCUGGAUUGAGACAUAUUGUCACCAUGGGAACAAGCGACGUCCUCACAAAGGCUCUGUCUCAUCUUGAUGGACACUAAUGGUGGUUUACCGACAUGGAAGCGCUGGUCCAAAGUGAUCAGGAAGUCAUGAAUAUCCUCCCUUCAGUUUCCUCCAGCUGAUGACAUCCUUUGGUUGAAAAGG